This 29-nucleotide non-coding RNA is filed under the name Rattus norvegicus (Norway rat). Lineage: Eukaryota; Metazoa; Chordata; Mammalia; Rodentia; Muridae. The record is from RNAcentral.
UCAUUUGAUGACCUGUGCCCAUUAAUCCC